UACAGCUGUACCAUGCUGAAUGCACCUGAUCUCCUGAUCUCGGAAAAUAAACAGGGUCAGGCCUGGUUAGUACUUGAAUAGGAGAAUAAGACUAUGCUGAAC
Molecule: ribosomal RNA, 102 nt
Filed under: Cavia porcellus (domestic guinea pig)
Lineage: Eukaryota; Metazoa; Chordata; Mammalia; Rodentia; Caviidae
Source: RNAcentral